CAAAAACAAAAAUCUUUUUGUACUUGAAAUCAAGUUUUAAUUAUAAUCAGAAAGAUCUUUAAUGGCAAUUAAAACUCAAAAAUUUACGCACAAAACACAGUAGUAACCAUUUUGUUUCUUUGUUAGCUUGUAUCUUUUACUUUAUUACAUAGGAGUACUUAAUUAGUAUGGGUACUCUUUAAUCUUUUCAAAAAUAGCAGAAAAGUGAACAAAGUAAAAAAAAAAAAAAUAAGACUACAACCCGAAUUUCCAAUUUCUUCAAGACCCAAAAGUUGAAAAUUCCAAACCCUUCCCCCCAAAAGCUAUCCAUGAAAAUUUCCCCCCUCCUUGGCAACUUUAACCAGCCAGCCCUAAGGUGUCCCUCCUCUCUCGGCAAACAUAAAUCUUCAAGGUGGAUAAGCUUGUUUGAAGUUGAACCCUGUGUGAGUACAAUGUGAUUCCCCUGGUCAUUGCAUUUAAUAUUCACGUUAUCUUCCUGUCAAUGGAAGGGACCUCGUUGAGUUGGCUGAACUUCAAGAUUCUUUGUUAUAGCUGCAUAAUUGCUUAAGAGAGCAGAUGAGUUGGUGAGACACAGUAACCUUGAUCAUCAGUGGAUAUAGGAAGGUCGCAGUCCUGCUGAAUCAGGAGGUUUCAAUGAUGUUUCUUGGUGAGAUGAUUGAUGGAGUAUCAUAAGAUAUUAUUUACUGCUCACUUUCUCUUGAACGUUCACAAGAAACAAUGCCUUCCAUGCAUUUGACACAAUCUACUAAUGGCUCUCAACUUGCCAUAGCAAGAACUCUCUUCGUGUAGGUUAUUCACCAGAGACCUGGUACUGGAAAAGCAUCGGAGCACUUCUCGAGUUUCACUUCUCUUCAACGUCCACUGAUGACUACUAUCACUAUCCAGUCUCACAUUAACUAACUUUUCUCUUCAAAUUUUUUUAUCCAUGUUGUAGAAGAGCUAUUAUAUUGUGGAUUUGCGGGGACAUGAUGAAACUAUUCUUUCUCUUGUAAAAGCGUACAGAUAUUCUGGAGUAGAAAUAGAACAACAUUUUAUUAUUUUAAUUCAUCUUGAAUGAUAUUGUUGAACCUUUAAUUGUAUUUUCUUACUAAUGUAUAGCAUUUAUUAAA
Long non-coding RNA from Lycium ferocissimum, 1109 nucleotides. RefSeq lists it as uncharacterized. The transcript is spliced from 4 exons. Lineage: Eukaryota; Viridiplantae; Streptophyta; Magnoliopsida; Solanales; Solanaceae. The record is from RefSeq and is a predicted model, not a curated record.